GGAGAGGUGAGAGUGAUUUCGUAUCGGACGACGCGCGCACGUUCCGUUUUCGCACGCGAGAAAGUUUCGUUCGAGUUUUGGCGGUUAUUUCAAAAACGAAAUAGAACAGCGAAAAUAUCAAUAGCCUUUAUCGAUACAAUUAUUUAAGAUUAACUUAACCUUUUAUAUUCGAAUUUUUUGUUCGGUGUUCGGUGGCUGUGUCUGUUUUAGUGUUGUGACUUUCACCGUUUACGAUAAAAAGGAUGAUGUUUGCACCUAAUAUAAAGCUAUGGCUCUGUCUGGGGUGCGUGGCUGUAUCGAUGGUGUCACCGGCGCCCACCGAGCCCCUCUACCUGGACAUCAUAGACAUGGCCGCCAUCAGCAGGAUGUCGCCGCAACAACUCGAAGCGCUCGCCGAAGGUCUUGCCGCCGAAGAGAUAAUGAGGACAAAGAGAUCGUCAGCCCAAGCGCUGACGUCAGUCGUGUCUAAAGCGUCAUCGGGUCUACAGAGUAAAGUUGGCUUGCUGGGCCAAGCCUCGGCCUUCAUAUCGUCCGCUUCGAGUAAGACCGGAGGUGACCACGGAGGAUACUCUCAUGAACCCCCCCAGCAAGGUGAAAAAUACGAUUUCUUGGGCCUGAAGAAGUCAAUUCUUUACACUCUUUUCCAAGCCGUCAAAGCCAUUACCGGUGGAGUGACGAUUUUGAAAGGACAGCUUAUUAAGGGCGGUGGUGCCUUGGCUUCCACGCUGGGCAAGGUCAUUGCCGUAAAGGGUGAUGCUGUAAGCAACCUCGGAAAGAAAAUAGUCAGCUCGGCAGCGCUGAGUGAGAAGAAGCCUGUUUCGACACCAGUAUACGGUCCACCACCAACCUCACACCUCGAGUACGGCCCGCCACCAUCCGCAUACGGAGCACCCACGGCUCCAGCGCACUACUCCCACACCGCACCAGCCCUGCCCACAGGAUACGCGGCCCACAAAUACCCAGCCCACUUGGACGAAAUUAUUGUCAUGUCCUCGGUAGACGAUGAUGAUGACGAUGCUAGUCAAUUUCCGUGGCCUUCGGAUGAUCUAGCUAUGCGAUAUUACGAGUUAAUUGACCUAAUUUGAAGUACCAGCCCAACCCAUCGUGGUAGGCGGCGAGGAGUUGCAGCACUACUACCAUUUUUAAGUUUAAAUUAUUUAUUGUUCUAAUGUCGCGUUUGGACGUCGAAAGAAUUACGUUCAGUAUUUGUAUAAUUGAAAUAUUUUAUUACAAAUAAAAUUUUUUUUUACUUGGUAAUUGCAAUGAACAGAUCGGCCAAUAACUUAAUGAGUAAUAAGAUAUUAAUAUAAUACAAUAUAAUAAUACAAGUUUCGUAGAUACGUAAACCGCUGCAAUUUUUAUUAUUAAUGAAGGUUCCACCGUAAAACGUUAAUUGUGAUUUAACACAAAAGGCAAAAUAUGUACAUAUAUUUUUUUUUUAUUCUUAUAUUUUCGUGGUUUGUACUCCAAACGCGAUCUUUAAUUAUUAAGUAUUCAUAAUAUUUCUUUUCUUAAAAACGGAACACUAUAAACCAAACAAAAAAUAAAUUAUAGGUUGGACUCGAUGCUCAACUAUAAAAUAUGCUGAUAUUAACAAAAAUAUUGAAAAAAUGUCUGAUGUGUGCAUACGGUAAAUAUUCAUUUAAAAAACUUUAUAAUAAUACCAGCUCUUUGAGAUAUUCUUAAGCGGUAGAUAGAGGAGACAUCUAUGCCAAUGGAAUCACUGGUGUUCACAUCGAUGAUUUACCAACAGGAGUACACUCCUCUGAAGCAAUCAUGGUUGACGCGAGCAGAGAGCACAGAAGCGUUUGGAUUAAGAUGGAAAUGUUUCUUUAUACUCAAACACGUUGUGAACUCAGUCUUGGUUAUUAUCGAUUUUAUAGAUUGUCAACUUUGACAAAAAGUAAAAAAAAAAGUGUAGUAGGUAUCCGUAAAAAUGCUUUUAUGCCGGAGGUACACAUGUUAACUUUAUUUGUAAAGUCUGGUCCUUAGCUGCAGCGAUUUUGUUUAAAAAGGCUCUUAAAUGACAUACUAAUAGAGUUUCAUCAUUUUCGCCAGUAUUGCUAAUUGAGUUACUUUUACGGUUCAAUAUCGCAUUUAUUAUUUUCUUUUCCGGUUUAGUAGUCAGCGAUGACCACGACAACCGUAAAGUAUCCCAAAAAUCGGAAAUAAUAAAUGAUAAUAAACGCGACAUUAAACUGUAAAAUUAGUUUUAAUUCUAAUAUGAAAUAUGUAUUUUAAAGUUUCAAUUCACAUUGGUCAGUUAAAAAAAACAUAGACCUUUUUCCACACUGUACGAAUUUACAAAUAACUUUUUAACAAGCUGUAUCCGUUUAAUGUAAAUAAAUCAACGAUUUUUUUUCAAAUGUCUUAAUUAAUUUAAAUUAUUUAAAAUCUUAAUUGAAAUAUGAAGUACUUUGUAAUUAGAGUAAUAUUGUAAAUAAUGCUCGGCCUGUAUUUAAAUCUCUUCUAUGUUUGGUUUUUCUAUUUUUGUAAAUAAAUUAUGAGAGAAU
This is an RNA transcript of Bombyx mori (domestic silkworm), 2513 nucleotides long. RefSeq lists it as uncharacterized. The record is from RefSeq and is a predicted model, not a curated record. NCBI's taxonomy places the organism in Eukaryota, Metazoa, Arthropoda, Insecta, Lepidoptera, Bombycidae. The transcript is spliced from 8 exons.